UUUUCUUCUUCCUUUCUUUCUUCCGGUCACUUUUAUGUCAUUUACAUUGUAUAUAUUCUCAUUUAUUGCUAUCGUUGUUAAAAUUGGAAUCAAAUGCAAUGUCGUUUAAAUAAAUUUCUAUUUGCUACUCCCGUUAAUUGUAGCGAGUCAGCUUUGACAUACUUUUGGUGAAUAAUUAUUUCAUUUAAUGUCCAAUUUAGCUGUGUCGCCCCAUUUGUUGUCUUCUGAAUAUGGCAGGAUUUGAUGAAAAUUGAAAUGGCAAGUUGUUAGUAUUAUAAUCGUGUUUUUAUAAUAUUUACGCUGAAAAUGACACUAAAGAAAAAAAAUGGUAGCUACUAGUUUCAACAAAUUCUUUGGUUUCUUUUAGAUAUUUCCUCAGCGCAUGUGAAGUUCGACUAAUUUUUGAAUGUUGCAUUUUUACUCUCAACAGCAGUAGGCAGCUUUAUUUUAUGACUACCUCUUCUAGCAGGAGAAUUGCAGAUUGUGAAUGUUCAUAUAGAGUUUGAUAUUUAGAAGGAGAAGGAAAGAGUGUGUUUCUGUGGGUUGCUAUGUUGAGAACUUGGUGUUGAAUUGAUUAUUUUAAUUUGAAUAAGUAAGGAGGCGAGUUUUCAAAUGUUUUGGCGUUUACCAUGAUUAAUUGGUCUUAACCAUAGAAGUGAAUAAUUCUUGACAUGAGAAGUUGGUAGCAGCUAAGCUUAAGCUGGUGGUCAUGUUCAAGACUGUUCAAGAGAUUGGUGUUUACAUUCACCGGUUUCAUAACCUUGACCUUUUCCAGCAAGGGUAAGUAUAUUUCUAACCAUUCACUGACUGCAAACUUUUUUGCUGACUUUUUAAUGAAUCUUUCUGCUGGCUGCAUUUGUGAUUUGUUUAGAUGGUAUCAAAUUAAGAUUAGCAUGAGAUAUGAGGACAGUGAUAUCUUGGGAACUCAAACAAACGUAAAUCCGAAUUGCGCAAUUCACGACGGCGAGAUCUUUCAUUCCUCUUCCUCUUCCUCUCAACACACCAACCAAGCUAAUAAUUAUGAAUUAUGAAACCCUAACACUGUUUCUAAUUCUGAGUCCUCUACUUUUGCCGAUCUGAAACUGAGGUUUGUUCUUUUUCUUCUUCCUUUCUUUCUUCCGGUCACUUUUAUGUCAUUUACAUUGUAUAUAUUCUCAUUUAUUGCUAUCGUUGUUAAAAUUGGAAUCAAAUGCAAUGUCGUUUAAAUAAAUUUCUAUUUGCUACUCCCGUUAAUUGUAGCGAGUCAGCUUUGACAUACUUUUGGUGAAUAAUUAUUUCAUUUAAUGUCCAAUUUAGCUGUGUCGCCCCAUUUGUUGUCUUCUGAAUAUGGCAGGAUUUGAUGAAAAUUGAAAUGGCAAGUUGUUAGUAUUAUAAUCGUGUUUUUAUAAUAUUUACGCUGAAAAUGACACUAAAGAAAAAAAAUGGUAGCUACUAGUUUCAACAAAUUCUUUGGUUUCUUUUAGAUAUUUCCUCAGCGCAUGUGAAGUUCGACUAAUUUUUGAAUGUUGCAUUUUUACUCUCAACAGCAGUAGGCAGCUUUAUUUUAUGACUACCUCUUCUAGCAGGAGAAUUGCAGAUUGUGAAUGUUCAUAUAGAGUUUGAUAUUUAGAAGGAGAAGGAAAGAGUGUGUUUCUGUGGGUUGCUAUGUUGAGAACUUGGUGUUGAAUUGAUUAUUUUAAUUUGAAUAAGUAAGGAGGCGAGUUUUCAAAUGUUUUGGCGUUUACCAUGAUUAAUUGGUCUUAACCAUAGAAGUGAAUAAUUCUUGACAUGAGAAG
This 1775-nucleotide long non-coding RNA is filed under the name Citrus sinensis (sweet orange). RNAcentral describes it as "long non-coding RNA (CSIN_LNC001411)". Lineage: Eukaryota; Viridiplantae; Streptophyta; Magnoliopsida; Sapindales; Rutaceae. The record is from RNAcentral.